Styela clava is the source of this 115-nucleotide small nuclear RNA. RefSeq annotates it as U5 spliceosomal RNA. The record is from RefSeq and is a predicted model, not a curated record. NCBI's taxonomy places the organism in Eukaryota, Metazoa, Chordata, Ascidiacea, Stolidobranchia, Styelidae.
ACACUCUGGUUUCUCCUCAUUACACGAACAAAUCUUUCGCCUUUUACUAAAGAUUUCCGUGGGGAGGAGCGCUCAAUGAGUCUUCACUUAUUUUUUUGCCCGGCCGAGCUCGGGU